This 255-nucleotide small nuclear RNA is filed under the name Callithrix jacchus (white-tufted-ear marmoset). RNAcentral's name for it is "7SK RNA". It matches the Rfam family "7SK RNA". From Rfam's summary of the family: 7SK was discovered as an abundant small nuclear RNA in the mid-70s but a possible function has only recently been suggested. Lineage: Eukaryota; Metazoa; Chordata; Mammalia; Primates; Cebidae. The record is from Rfam by way of RNAcentral.
AAACUGUGGGGAUCUAGCUACAACAUCUAUCACCCCAUUAAUCUCCAGGGUUGAUUUGGCUGAUGUGACUGGCUAAGUGGGUGACCCCUUCCUCCCUGACCACUCCAUGUGUGUUCCUCUGCAGCUGUGAGCUUGGUGAUGACCUUUAAUAGAGGAGGACUGUUCUUCAGUCAUGAGUAUAUAAGUAGCUGCGCUCCCCUUUGAACAAGCUCUCAAACUGGGGAUCUUCCUCCGCUCUGUAGCCUGGAUACCAGC